Molecule: ribosomal RNA, 381 nt
Filed under: uncultured Leptolinea sp.
Lineage: Bacteria; Bacillati; Chloroflexota; Anaerolineae; Anaerolineales; Anaerolineaceae
Description: bacterial SSU rRNA
Rfam family: Bacterial small subunit ribosomal RNA
Source: RNAcentral
UGCAAGUGGUAGGAAGCCGAAGGUGACGACCCUUCGGGAGCUUGCACAGGUGCUGCAUGGCUGUCGUCAGCUCGUGUCGUGAGAUGUUCGGUUAAGUCCGCUAACGAGCGCAACCCUCGCUGUGUGUUAUAUGUGUCACACGGGACUGCCGGUCUUAAGCCGGAGGAAGGUGGGGAUGAUGUCAAGUCAGCAUGGCCUUUAUAUCCUGGGCUACACACACGCUACAAUGGCCAACACAAUAGGUUGCUAAGCCGCGAGGUGGCGCCAAUCCAUAAAGUUGGUCUCAGUUCAGAUUGUAGGCUGCAACCCGCCUGCAUGAAGGCGGAAUCGCUAGUAAUCGCAGGUCAGCAUACUCGCGGUCCGAAUACGUUCCCGGGCCUU